UUUGUAACUAAUACAAGUCUCUCUGUGUAUUCAUUUGGGCCUAACUCGGGCGGUUGGCUGGCGUAAAGCUCGCUCGUGGCGGGGGGGCUCAGGCGGCUUUUGGCAAAAAGAUUUAUCGUAACAGGGGUGUCUAUGAGCCCCUUUAUAGAUGAUUUGAGAGUUUGUGGGAGUACCAAGUGUGAUGGCACAUGGGAGAUGGCAAUAGGUGGGCCUAUAUGAGUUUGAGGAUUGUACAUACAAAGUUUCAGGCCAGUUAAGACUACAAAAGUCUUGAUAAGUAGCUUAGGCUGUGUUUGCCGUAUGGGGGAUCCCCUUAGGUGGAGUUACAAACAUGCAAAGAAAUUUCACACAUGAGACCCUGCCUCAAUAAACAAAUAAAUGAACAAAUAAGUAAUGUGCAUGGGAGAAUCACAUAAGUUAUAUUCUAAUACUACAGAAUUUUAUGUAAGAAACUUGAGCAUUCAUGGAUUUGGGCAUCCAGAUGAGGUACUGGGACUGAUCUUGUGUGAAUACCGAGGAACAAUUCUAUCUUUGUAGUCUCAUUUGAUUUCUAGUUACUUUGUACAAUUGGAAACAUUUAUAUCUGAAUACAUGAAGAAAAGGAUAAUACACACAAUGUGAUCAUGCUUGAUUCUUCUAGAAAUGUGAAAGCCAAUAAAAUGAGUGUGCCUGGAGCAACAUAUGCUAAACUAAACUUGCUUCCAGCAAAGUUAAAAAAUUUAGGACACAAGAUACAAAUUUUAUAAUAAGAAAAACAUUUGUGUUUAGUUUUGUAAAACAAAAUGUGCUUAAGGAAAAUUAAUUUCACAUUUGUAACACGAAUAUGAGAGGAAACAGAACUAUACUGUUCUUAUCCAGUAUGCUAUUUUGUGAUUAAUAGUAGUAGUGGUGCCACCGGAUCAAAACAAUUGAGUGUCAUUCAGUUAUUUUCCCUCAGAAUAUUACAUAAAAUCAUGAAACUUGUGUUCAAGAAUUACUCAGACAAUGAUAUAGUAAAUGUUUGAAAGCUGUCCUACAUGGCUUUCUCUAUUUAUUAUUUAAGAUUUUAGUCAACUGUUUUUGGAAGUUAGCUUAACAUGGUUAGUUCCUGGCUAGCAUGUAUGUUCAGACUCUUGAGACUAGACAGUCAUCAUGAUAACUUAAUAUAGGCACUGUACCAAGCAUUGUGAGGAGACUUCCAAUUUUCCCUCCCAGGUAUCAAAUAUUAUUAUCUUUUGACCUCUUAUAAUCCCCAUUAUCUGUUAAAUGAAACUCAUACUUCAGUAAACAAGUCUUAAGUGUCCUCAUGAUGUUUUCAUUCCAGUUGAAAGGACUGAUAAAAUACGGAAGACAGUUUUUUUUUUCAAACUUAAGACCACUUAGAAACUGGAUCAGAGUGAACAGAAACCAACCUGAAGUUUCAAAUGCAACAUAGUAUGUGAUAAAAUUGUACAUUUCAAGUAAAAGGAGAAAGGAUAGUAUGGGGCAUUGAAAGAUGAAUGAGGUUGGGAAGGAAGGAAGUGAAAGUUUUUGAAAAGAGGACAGCAAUAAGAAUGAAGGAUCCAUAUACUAUUUUUUUUUCUGAACAAGUAUAGUUUGAUGCCAAGGGCUUAUUGGGCAUUCUGUAGGGACAGCACCCUUUCCUGGUCUCCUGCAACUUUCUGCCCUUCUUAAUGUUGAACGAAUGAGGAAAGCCUGACUUAUAGUGCAUGAGAGUGCAGGCCAUAUUCGUGUAGGGAGACACAUCAAGGGUUGCCUUUACUGGCACUUGCAAUCAAUGCCUGUUGACAGAACUCUUUUUUUUAGAGCUGGAAUCCUGGCAGUUCCACAGACCUUGCACUGGUCUCCCUAGGAAGCCUGGCAAAGGACAUCAGAAACUUGCUCCAGUUUAUUCAGAAUGGCAGCUGAUUGAGUCUCACAGAAACCAAACAUCAAAUGCAAGUCUCAGUUUUCUACUGAAGUUGUCUACCUCAUGACUGAAUUUCAAAGUUUAAAGACAUCUUUUCCCCUUAGGGAAGAAUUAGUUGGAAAAAGCUAUGUAGGAAAAUAGGUAUCAAUUCUCUGUUACUUUAUUUUCACCAAAUACUUUCACAUUGCUGGAGGAUUUGUAGAUCUAAACAGAAACAAGGUUAGUUUAAAGAAAGCCAAGUAAAACCACUUGUUUGUUGUUUCGGAAAUCAAACAAUAGUUAGAUUACAUGAUACUAAUAUUUUUUAUUUUAAAUUGUUUUUUAAAUCUUGUGGCUCAAAGCCCACAUUACACAGUCUUAUAUUAAUUCCAUAGAUGGCAUAAUCUGUAAGAAAAGAUGAAAUGCAGGAGAAAGUCUGAUACUCUCUAAAAAUAGUACAUGAGCUCUAGACAAAUAACCAUAGAGAAAUACACUAACCAUUGAAUAAAUCAAGGGAAAAUGUGAAGAGUAAAAUUACAAAUUCAACAACGUGCACUGUGAUUUCAUGAGGAAAAGCAUAUGUGUCUUUUGAGGGGAUCUAGUGUGUGCCUGCAGCACAGCGUGAGCUGAUGUGCUUGCUGGAUACAUUGAUAUAAAACUGAGGUCAUGGAGAAAAGCAGUAUGGGAGCAAUGGUUAUUAAAAAUGGGGGAGAGAUGACUAAAUUAAAAUGGACCAUAACAGGAAAAUAGUCUUUAUGGAAGUCCAGAUAAUAGUAGAGACACUUUCUUGAGCUUCAUUCUUGCCUUCCCUUUAAAGUAGGAAGCCAGCAUCACAGCUUGCUUCAGACAUGGAGAAGGGGAGGAAAUGGCCUUAGCACCUUAUUUAUCAUAGCUGCAGAGAUGUCAAAGUCUUGUGAGGCAUUGGCAUUAGAGGAAUCAUGCAGAGGGUAGAAACAUUGGACUCCAUUAUUUUUGCAACUUUUCUGUGAAAAUUCCAAAAGUGUCCUGGUCUUUCCUUUUUUCUAGUUACUAUUCAUGAGUCUGGGACUUAGACCAUCAGCCAGCAUCCCUGGUUAGUGACCAGAGGAGCUGUCCUUUUCUAAAUAAGGGCAGAUAUGAGAAAUGCCUUAGCCUUGAUUAUUUUCAUUCAUCUGUCUUUUACUUAGGUGCUAUGCGGCCCUAAAUAUACCUAUAAAAACUCAAGCUUAUUUUUAUUGGUAAGGUCUAGAGAAAGUAAAUUUUAAAAAUUAGAAAUAAAAGCAUAGUAUUACCCCCCAAACUAGAUUCAAAUAACUAUAUAGAGGUAGGCUAUCAAGUAAAGACAAAUCAAGAGUAAAUUGCCAACUAUAUUGAAAUGCUACCAAUCUUGAAGUUGUGUUCCAGAUUCCUGAGUAUAGUAGCUCAGAAUAUGCAGGCAAAGAACAAAGGAUAAAAGAUGCGUUCUAUUUUCCAAAGCUUUUCUUUCAUUUUAUUGCAGGGCCCUGGGGUGGGCUCUGAGCAUAAGCUCGCUGUUCACCAAUCACUCGCUAAUAACUGGAGCUGAAAGAGGGCUCUGCCCUAAUGCCAUUAUGUUCAAGAGCCAUGAUUGAUUGUGUUAUAGUAUGUUUUUGAAACCUAAUUACUGUCUGAGAGAGUAUCUGUACUCAUUAAUCUUUAGUCCUGUAAAUAAGUAAAAUUGACUAAAUAACUGGAUUUCUCUAAUGAUGGCUUAGGUUAUCUUUGAACCACUGCCUUGCCCUACCCUCUUCAGAGCAGCAAAUUAUUUUCUUAAUGGUAAUUGCUCCCCAGUUUUGAAAUCAAUUUGUAAAAGUCGGCUUAUAAAACAAUUUUCCGUGUUGCCCUGUGGUUGCCCAGUCCCUGUUCUAUGUUUGUGGUAUAAUGAGCACACCCCGUGAAGUGCUCACAUCUAUUGUGUUCACAGAUGGCCUCCAUGGUGGGGAGGGACACAUCACUUAAGGAGAGAAGAGGCUUGAGAGGGGUUAGGUUUGCUUUCACCUUACUGAACUCUACUUCAUUCUCACCCAAAUGGAAAAAGUUCUAUUUAGCACAACAUAUGCCAUGUACUCUAAAUAAGGCAAUAAUUAACACGACCACAAUUUCCUUUUCUACUUCCUAAUAACCAACCCAGGAUAGCUAAGGUGUGGGAUUUAAUGAUACAUUUUUCUUUCUCUCUUUCCCACCCCAUCUACUUACCAUUUUAUUACCCAUUAUAAUUAUUCCUUAGACAGUGAGCUUGAGGAAUUGGAUUAUGUUAUGUUCAUAUACACCAAGGGACUUCUUCUUCCAGACCAAAUCAAGUAAAAUUGACUGGACAUUCUCUAUUCUCACAACAGUUAGAUAUUAAAAAGUACAAAAAAUUGAUAUUUUGACACACUGGAUAUAGCAUCAAAGGACAAUGAUGCUGAGAGACAAGGUCAGAUGAGCCCACUUCUACUGAAGUUACAACCUCAAGAAAAUUUCCAGAUGGUGACCUCGAGAGAGAAGACCCUGGAAUGAAAUAUGGAUGGAAAUCCAGGGAUCACAGGGCAAGGAACCAGAGAGGCAGCUGAUAUACAACGAAAAUUCUAUUAUUCUGUGGAGGACCCACUUUGAAUAUCCAGUUAAAAAUAAAUCAGAACAUCUACAAAGAAGCUAAUCAGGAAGGCAAAACGUAUUUAAUGGAACCUGGCCAUACAGGAUGCUGCAACUGGUCAUAAUGAUGUGAAUAAGAUGGCCUUAAAUGAGAUUUUGGUCUAUUUCAUAUACAACAGUUCCAUUUCCCUAUAAGGAAUAUAUUCUUUAAAUUUCCAUCUUGCCAGUGACACUAUUAAAAUUUCUUACAGUUGAUUCAGACCAUAGGCUCAAGAAGGCAAGUAUACAUUUAAACCAUUAUAUAAGCUGCUGAUGUCUGGAGAAGGAUUGUUUGCUGGUCAUUAUUAAGCCCCAUCCAAAACCUUCUUUAAAAACAGAGCAGUAACUAAAAUAAGAACAAGGUCAGUUUGGGAACCAGGUAGCCCAAAUCAUAGGGUUUUCCUAUCUCAGUUCAUUGUUGACCCAACUUCAUUAUUUAGGAUCUAUGGCUGUCUCUACUGAUUUCUCUUCCUUCUACAGAGCGUUGUCAGUUCUUCUGCAAAGUCCCUUAACUAUGCUGACCUAACUUGGAGGCUUCCUCUUCUGAGGUUACUCCUCUGGUUCCUCGCUGUUUUGGAUUGCUAAUUAUACUUUCGUUUGUCUGUCCAACCUUUCAACCAGAUUUAGGUAGGUAACUAUCAAACAUGUUGAGGCAGAUGUUCAUCUACCCAGAAUCCCCAGUCAUUUUACCUUGUUCAUUUUACCAUAUUUAUUAGCCUUUGUCUUUUUUUCCUUUAGAACAACAGCAGUAGUAAGUUACUCUCUAGAGUUUAUGACUCUCAGAGCUUUUGACCAGGCUUUCAGAACCAGACCUAAAUUCUUACCUGUGGAAUAGGCUCAAAUUCAAUCAGAAAGUGAUUAGCACUCAUAACCCUUGUGCUACUACUGUACUCAUAGGAACAUUUGCCUGCUCAUUGCUAUCAUGAUGUGCAGGGCUAGCUUCAGGAAUACCAUUGGUAUAUUUUCUCUCUGAAGAGGGCCCUGGGUAUCACUUUUCAUCACUAUGAAAGCUAGUCAGCAGGGAGAAAGUUUUCAGUAUUUGCCAACUUUAUUUCUCUAUGUCCUGCAACUGAAAUAGGUUGUAUUUUCAGAAUAAGAUUUUACCAUCUGAUUCUGAUGCCAAGAGUAGAGCAAAAGACAUGUCAUUUUGAGGGACUUCUUGAGGGUCUCUCUGUUCAGUAACUUAUAGGCAAGUAUCCCAUGCCUGGUACUGAGAGAUUUUCAUUUAAUAAUUCAUAUCUUCUAGGGGAAUCAUUUUCUACCCUUGCAGGGUAUCUGUGUUUGAGCUCUGUCUAUAGUUUUAAUUGUAUUCUCAAUUAUCUUACAAAGUAGUGGCUUUCCAUAGGGGUUUUUCCUAUAUUCUUAGUUUUGAUUAACCAACCCUGUCCCCUUCUGUUAGUUGUUGAGGGAAACAAUCUGUCUAUUCUCCUCAACCAUUAAGUAUGUUUUGACUCUCUACUAGAUACUGGACUCUAUCCUAGACACUAGAGGUACAGUAACAUAUAGGACAGCAUUUGUCCACUCUCUCAAGGAGCAUACAUUUUAGUAGACACUCAAAGUCAACAAAUAAGCAAUCAGGAUAUGUGGAACAUGAUAAGAUAAGGUAGGGUCAAAAUUGAGAAUAAUUUUAAGUAGGACAACAGACUACAGAGAGAUAAUAGUAUCAGAAUAUUGGCAAGGAUGGUCAGAAAUCCUUUCAGGAGGUAGCAUUUGUAUUCAGAUAUACUUACAACAAUUUCAGGGAAUCUAGGAGAGAAGUUCUGUAUGGUCACCAUGUGCUGAGUACAUUACAAGGUAAAGAUACAAAGGCUAAACUGGAGUCUAUAAAGGGGAUGGGGCAAAAUAAAUGAAAGCUGAGUUUUGAGGUAGAAGACGUGGCCUGGAAUAUGAAUGGAUAUUGGUCUUUGCUUUUACUCUUUUUGGGGGGGUAUACAUAAAGCACACAAAUAUUACUUGUUAAGUUACAUGAACAGAUACAUUUCCCAUCUAAAAUGCAAAAGGCUUCUAAUUUCUUCCUUUCUUUACAAACAGUUGCUAAUAUAAUUAUUUUAAUUUCAGCCAUUCUGAUAGGCAUACAUGUGGAGGUAUUUUGGGGGGUGGGAGAUUUUUACAUAUAUUGUUUGUAUAGCAUACCUACAACUUAAGUACUUGGCAUAUUGUAUUCUCAUAGAUAUUUAUCAUUAUAUAUAUGUAUAUGUAAACAUUCCCCCCCCACACACACACACAAUCUACCACCUGGAUUCAAUAUAAUGCCAGCAUACGCUAGAUGUCUUUCUUAUCUUCUUCCAGGAGUGAUUAAUCCUUGGCACUUGCCUUUCAUUCGCCACACAGAACUUCUGUCCCAGAUUCUACCCAAUUGUCAUUAGCACACCUCAGUUCAAAUAUCACCCCCUGAGAAGCUUUCUGGGUACACUAGCUAAAAUUUUCCCCAACUAUCAUGAUACCCUUUGUCCCUUUGAUUAAUUUUGUUUACUUUUGAACAAAAUAUAAGCAAGCACUGCAUGCAUUCUUUUGGGUUAAGAAGAAGUGUGGCUAUUUCACAAUUUGUCUUACUCUUGAUAGAUUUUGCGUUGUGUCAGGUCUCAAGAUAUUAUGACUAAAGCUGUUAUAAACAUCCUGGUACAUGCCUUUGAUAGAUGUGUGUACUCAGUUAGAACAUAUUUGCUUAUUUAACAGAUGUCAGAAAACAGUUUUUUAAAGUGAUAGUAUCUUAUAUUCUUCUUUUAAAAUGCAAAAAGGGUUCUGAUUUUUUCCCUUCUCUACAAACACUUUCCAUUAUCAUUGUUUCUAAUUCUAAUAGGCAUAUAUGGGUAUGAUUUUUGUUGUGAAGACUUUUUAGGGAAUGAGAAAGAUUUUUAAAUAUAUUUGUAACACAUUUCUACAUCCCAAGUAAUCAAUAUAUUGUCCUGCCAUAGAUUUUACUAUUGUGUUAUUGAUUAUGUAGUUUGAUUUCAAAAUUUUAGAUUUCCGACUUCCUGGCUUACAUUCCUUAAUUCCAAUACUAUAUUAUUUUCCCUUUUUAAUAAUCCCAAUAGCAGUGUAAGAACUCAAGCAUGUUGACAUUACAUCAUAAGUUCAUUGUCUUUUAAGAAAGCAAUAUUUCAUCUUUUAUAGGGGAUCCUAUUCCAAGAUAGAAAGGAAAAUAGAAAACAGGACUUAGAACUUGAGAGGGAAAAUCUGAAUGAGCCUCCAGUUUAAUGCAGUUUCCAUUCUUGGAGCCAAAAGGCUGUGCAGUCAAUACACAAAGGGAGUUGCUGGGGAGUGGGAACUGUUGGUUUCAUUACAUGCUCAUUACACCACUGCAUCAGGGUGUCUAGGAGUUUCGCCCUCAUGAUGAAAUUAAGAGUGUUAUCCUUCAUUUCCUGUUUUGGAAAAUAGUUUGACUUAAGAAAAAAAGGUUAAUUGCAUAUUGUUUUUGUGAAUUGGGUUGAUAAUUUUUCAUAUCAUAAUUAGCUAAUUAGAAUUCUAUUAUUUUCCAACAGCUUUAAUGAGGUCUUCUACUUGGCAAAGAACCUGUGAGACCAAAAACCAUUGCCAUUUGUUAAAAGAUGGAGAAACCCUGAUGACAAGCGGAUUUUUCAUUGCAUUUCACCUCUGUGCCCUCCUCAGAGAAUUCGUGGCGUCUGAGUUAAAAUAGGUGGAAAGAAUCUCCGUUUCCAGCCGUGGCUCCCCAGCUUGGUUGGAAUGCUCAUCUGGUUGUGAUAGAGGCUGCCUUUUGGCCAGCAGUUCUUAAAAUAGCUCCUUGGCUUGUAAAGCAAAAAGAAUUAGACAUUUGAGCAGCUCAGAGUUUGCUCUCUGGAUGCUUCUGGCAACUUGCUUUGGGGGGCACUGUUGCUCCAGCUUGGGAGUGCUAUCCAGGCUCUAGUGAAUGAUGGCUCUCUCUUGCGCAAUCUGGUAUCUGUACCCCCUGUCAAGUAAUCAUUACAAAUGUUUCAUGUAGGAGCAAGCUGGCUCUAAGCAAAGGUCUGCCUUUUAGUAGAAGCAUGGGCCUGAGGGGUGGGGCCCACUGUGUCCUGUCCAUGGUAACAUUUUCCCCUUUGACAGUGUAAUUAAGUGCUAAUUAACUAAAUGAGUGUAAAUGUUGAAGGUUGAGAUAAAUAUCCACAUCUUCUUAAUCUAUUUUCCUCUCCAAGAUUUGAUAAAGGAAAUCUGGAUUUAAUGGAGGAUAUUUGUCAAUUAUUUUUUUAAGACCACAAAUCUGUUUAGAAGGAACUCAGAUGCACCAGUUUUAAUUUCUACAGGAAAAGUUAACAGCAUAUAAAUAUAGGAGAGAUACAAUAAAAUGUGGAUGCAAUACUGCAAUAAUUAUGGUAAGGAGGAUGAGUGAAACUACCUUUUGGAAACAUCUGGUUUCUGUUUUUUUCAUAUCCUGCAGAUGUUGCUGAAUUGAUGUAAAAUACUGACGGGAGAAUACAUUAGCCCAUGAAGUCACUCCAAUGAAUAAAGCAAAGACUAGCCUCUUAACUUUCUAAAAAAUCUAGUUAGGAAAGAACCCUGCUUUCAGUGGAGGCAGCGAUUAGGCCAAUAAUUGAGAGGGGCCCAGGGCCUUCUAAAAGUGUCAAUAGUGAUCUGUUCUUGCCAAAGGGGAAAAGAGAUGCUUUGUGGAGGAGCUGCCUGGGUAAUAAAUGGGCAUCUUUGUAAUUCAGGCACUUUCCCAUUACCUUCCAUGGUGAGUGAUUGGAAAUGAGGCUGAGGAGCAGCCAUGGGAAGCCCACUCCUGUGCUUGGCAGGGGAGCAAAAAGGCUACUGCCUCUUGCCCCAAUUCCCCUGCCUGUCUCGCCAGCCUCUGGAGCUGAAGUGAGACCCGGAGUCACAUACUCAGCUCUUGAGUUAGAGCAAGAAUCUUGGAAAGAGGGUUCCAUUUGGUUCAGGAUAGUCAACACCCUUCCCAGGCAGGAAGUAGCAGGGUAGACAUAUGUAUGUUGAACUUCCUGGAAAGCAAGGGAUAGGCCUGGGAAAGUGGAACUCAUUUAAUGGGGUUUAGUUGCACAUGAGAUUAAAACCCCGAAAUAAAUGCAAAAGAAAUAUUUUGGCCUAUACCCUAUUUGGCAGGAGGAUUGGGAGCCCGAAAUAGUCCUCUGGCUGCCUGGGAACUCUGAACCACUCCCAGUACUGACAUCACCACUUUGAGUUGCAGUAUCAUGCACAUAUUCAGAAGGUCCCAAUUAAAAUAACAAGGGUUUUUCUGGUAACCACCCUGGCCAACAAGAAGGGCAUACCUAUAUACAUACCUAUAUAAAUGUACUUGUUAAACACACACACACACACACACACACACACACACACACACACACACACACACACACACACACACACACACACACACACACACACAGAAACAGCACUUUUCUGGUUCUCCUCUCAGUUGUCUCAGUUGUUGACCUUUGAUGGCUCAUGAUAGCAGUAUCAUCUGUUUUGUUCUGAGACAAAAGGACAAAUCUGUGUCAUGGCUCAGAAAAGACUUGUUAUGGUCUGCUCUGUGAGGCCUGGAGGUCCCCGGUGAGGGAGUCCCUCCUGGCCACACAGUCCUUCCACUUCAGCCACAAAUGUGUGUGGAUAACCCCAGCCCUUUCUCCUGCUCUACCAUUUGGCCAGGCCUUCAUUAGUGACGUUUUUUUUUCUUGCUGGCAUUAUAUAAGCCUCAUCUCUCCUCCCACUCAGCCCUUCUUUCCUUUGCACCUGGCUAAUUUCUGAUGGUGAUUUAUCAGCUGUAUUUCUCAAUGCCAGAUUGUCAGGUUAAACUCAAUAUGGCCAGUUCUCGCUCCUUUGGGGGAAUUUUGGCGCUAAUGCAGAGUGCUAUUUAAAGGAUAUUUAGCUUUGUUGGCAGUGUCAUCAUAAUGGCUUUGAACAUUUAGGUGUCUUUGAGAAUGAGUGACAUAGCUCCCCAGCUUUUUCUUCACUGAUCAUUUCUUUUCCAUCUUUGGCUAAGAGCAAAUGGUGAAUCUCCUGAUCCUCCCAGCGAUAAUGGUAUAGGUGAGUACCAAAGUAGGAUGUUGAGGUUUAGGUGAAGAAAUUGAUGCUCACAGGAACGGAAGAAAUUUAUUCAAGAUCAUACAGAUAAGCCCAUGAGGAUCAAUAGGUCCCAAAGGAGACAGAUGAGAACUGUUCUUAUUUUAGGGAGAGAUCUAGAAGUCAUGUUUCGUCUACCAUGCACUUAUUCAAUUCAAGAAUUUGAUCGUGCAAUCCAGUAGGCUGUAAGUUUUUAUAGGAAGUAAAAUGAUAUGGCAGAUUUUUAUAUGAAAGAUGAGAUGGAACAAGGUGAUAGAGAGUGCUGUGGGGAGGUGGGAGGAGGGUACGCUCUCACCUCCAACUAACUAGCCAUAGCUGUGUGACAUUGGUCAAAUCACAGUAUCAUCUGUGUUUUCAGUGCUUCAAGUACAAAACAGUGUGGAUUACAUUUUUUUCUUGUAGGUUGAAAUUUAAUUAUUCUGUAAAUAAAAGCUGUAACUUAUAGAAAGAAUAAUGGGCGUUGAAUGUGGAGAGGGCUUUCUUUGAGAAUUGAUGUGUUUGGCAGAGAACACACUGUUAGUUAAUAUCACCAGAGAGGAAGGUGGGAAACCCCCAAGAAAUAUAACCAGUUUGCCUUGUGGAAACCAGCAUGACAAGGGGCAUUUCAUAUUACUCACUACACAGUGGCUAAUUAGUCAAGAAGGAAACAGCCAUUUCUUGGAAAGUCUCCUGGAAAACUGUAUACUGAUUUUUGACUACCUCAAUUUGUUUCUGAGAAUUGCAACUAUUAAGGUAAAAAGUGAAUUAACCAGCCAAUGGGAUGCUUCUAAAUAAUCUGGAUCCUUUGCAAAACAUGACAAACAUCUAUUCAGUUGAUCCUACUGUCUGAUAGAAAAUUGAAGUUGCUCGCCUCCAGCUUUCUCUCCAGCUACUGUCUUUACCAGCUCACACCGAUGUUCAGCUCUUCCCACUGUUCACACCAACAACCUGAAGGAAGGUCUGGGAUUUGGGCCUGUAGACCUGCUACAUUCCUUAAGCUGUCUUUCAAGUCACUUGGUAGACCAGGCAGCUAACCAGGCUGCUAACUCACACGGAUCAGAUCUACCUGCUUCUGUCUCAUGAGUGUGCUGAGAUUAAAGGCAUGCACCACCAUGCCCAGCUUGCAGUCUUACACAGAGAAAUCCAUAGUCUGUUUACACCAGUCUCAGGUAGGGAGUUUCUCUCUUGGCUUUUCUGAGAGGGGACACUCAUCUUAGGGCUUCUGCCUUCUGUUCCCAGUGGGAGUCAUCAUCUCUUUGGGACAUUUUCUCCUUUCUAUUACCAUUUACCAUGAAUUUUCUAGUAGAAUUGAAGUUACUCUCACUGAAGUCACUCUCAAGAGAGUCCCUAUUAACAACACUUUGAAUGCAAAAAACCCCAAAAGACCAGGGUAUAGACUAGCUGCCAUUUUGGUAUCUUUUCAUCUUUGGGGUGUUUGAAUUUAUGAAUUGUUUGUUUGACAAUAGAAACGAGAUCCUACUUUUAAGUAAAAUUCAGGGUAAUAAUUUAUGGCUGUGUUUUCUUUUUAAACACAAUUGUAGUUCCUUUUGAGUUAUUAAAGAAUACACUGAAUGCUGUUAAGUAGAAACACUAAUGUGAUGUCAAAUGUUAGUAAGUUAUUUAGAAUAGAGGAACAAAAGAAUCAGGGAGUGUGAGAAGAAAAGAAAGAAACCUAUGGGAUGACCCUGAGAAAGUUAAUCUUCUUUGGAGAUAUGAAAUGUUUCCUCAAAAUGAAUAAGUACCAAAUGAAACAAUAGAGGUGGCGGGGGGGGGGGAGGGCUUGGAAAGUAGAUUAUGGCCUCCAUGUACACCUUCUCAUUUAGCUGCCUGGUGAUUUUUGUUUUGUCUUUUAAUUUACUUCCUUGCAAAAGCUAGUGUUCCUUUGCUGCAACUCUCUUGUGUCCCAGUCUUCCCUAUGGAUCUCUUCAAAUGGGAGGAGUUAGCUGAAUGUAUAGCAGACCAAGCUGUGUAAGGAAGAUUAGGCCAACAGUAGUCCAAUGAACAUCUUAAGUAGGGGUUGAUUCUGAACCAUAAUUGACCCAGUUGAAGACCUUACAUCAUGCAAGGCAAACAGAGGUCCCUGAUGCCAAAAUUAGGCCUUUGGUCUAGUUACUAAGAUUAUGUUGUUGAUUAUUUUCAGUCAUCUUCACAGAUCAUCUCUAUAAGGGGAGGAGAUCCAUAAGGAAGUUUGAAACAGAAGGGAGGGGGAAAUUCAGGAGCUGUAGCAAAUGGCCAUUAAGUUUCUCAAGGAAGUAAAUUAAAAGACAAAACACAAGUGAUCAGGUCCAUUAGUAUUUAGAUUAUUGAGGACUUGUCAGGGCAUAUGAAGAACAAGUAUGGGCAUGUGCGACAGUUAAGCAGGUAAAGGUGCACGCUGCCAAGCCCAAUGACCCGAGUUCUGUCACUGGAUCUCACAUAGUAGGAGAGAACUGGCUCUCUGAUCUCCACAUAUAGUGCCAUGGAGCAUGCACAACACCCAUCUGACCUGCUAAGUAAAUAAAUUUACAAAUAAAUGUAAAUUUAAACUUUUUUAAAAAAAGAACAAGUUUAGAAAGAGGUUUUGUUUGGAUUGUCACUCAAAGGAAAUACCUGGCUAGGCUUUACGCCUGCUUAUCAGUUUAUCCUGUGAUGGAUGGCUUUUCUUGCUUUUACUGGACGUAUAAAGCUAGGAGGCAAUCCUAACUUGCUCAGCAACAUGCAACACAAUUCUCUUUACAAAAGUCAGUGGUGGUGGGGAAUGGCUUUGAAUACUGUUUUUGUAUUAUUGUAGAUGUUUAAAAAGUGAUAAGGAGACUAUUUGUAGAGAAAACACUAGCCCAGAAGAGAGUCCCUGCUUGGCCUGAUAUGUUUUGAAAGUGGCUUUCAGUUCAGCAUGACUAGCAAGAUAACCAGGCAAAUGAUUCAUCAGGCUUGUAACUCAGCAGGUGUGUUGCUGUGCACCCAGCCAAGGAACCUUCCACAGCUCACUUCAAGCUGUGAUAUCCUGUAUGUAGCAAGACUAAGAGAGGAAGGCUAGGCACUCAGUCUGCCUCUUACUGGUGCAUCCCACAGCCUUCCACUCAGUUCUGCUCAGGACAUCUUUAUUAAACAUCCAUUCUUGUCUAACAAAUGGUCCUGGCUGCUGGUGGGAGUGCAGGAAGGUAAAGAAAAGGAUGAAAGCCUAAAAGAAAGAUUGUUCCUGACUGAAGGAAUUUUAUUAGAAAAUUUAGUUUUGCCUCUUGAGAAAAAAAACAAAAACAAAAACAAAAAACUUCAACUGAAGGACAUAUCUAAAAUUAAAAACACAGCAUAUAACAGUAAAUUAAAAGAAAUAAAAAGCUCUGAAUUGAAAUUUUACUCAAUAAUUGAGUGUAUGUUUAAAACUGACAUGCCCACUUACAAAUUAAAAAAAGCUAUAUAUUCAAAUGUCAAUUCUAGCUAUCUCUGAAUAUGGAAUUAUUGAUAAACUUAUUUAUAAAGUUUUUCUUAUUUCUCUUACAAUGAACAAAGUUUACUUUUGACAACAGGAAAAGAAAUAUUUCAAAAUCAUCAGAGGAAGGAAUGGGGAUAAAAGUGGUAUCUAUAGACCUAGCUCUCCACAGGAGAGAAACUUUACUCAUACAGAGAGAUUUCUCAUAGUUCCAGGGUGUAAACCAACAUAUCUAUCUCUCUUGGCUACUGUGUAAUGUUUUCUAUUGACUCGAAACUGCUAUAGAAAAGGCAAAGAAAAACUUGAUUUGUCUUUCCAUGGCUUGGACAAACUGCAAAGAAAUGCAUUUUCCUUUUAUUAAUCUGUUUCUUAAUGUAUCUAAAGAUGCAACUAGUUAGUGAAUCCUAGUCCCCCUGGUAACAACUUCGGCACACCAGGCAGGAGGCAAAUUUGCUUCAGACUGCUGUAGUUAAAUGCAAGGUAAUCCCCAAGUUUGGGGAGUUUUUCCAUGAUUCUCUAACUCUUGGCAUCAGUUGCCUGACAACCCUUACAGACAACUGCUUACCAACCCUUACUGACAAAAAGACUUUUGAAUUUUGACCUGGCAUUACUUGUAAAGAAUACUUACUCAUUCACUUAUGUAAUUUGGAGAGUGUCUAGUAAAAGAGUUCAUGGUCUUAUUUGUGGGUAUUUUUGUGCUGUUUGUGAAAAAUUAUGAAGAAGGUGCCUUAGAAACACCUGCCAUGUGAGGGCUGCAUUGAGCCUUAUGCUGAGCUGUUGUUUGGUUAUGUAACAUUGAAGUUCAGAUCUUGUUUAGCACCAUGCUCACUUGCUUCAUUUUAUUUUCCUUUUCACAUAGCCUGAUUUUUGAUUUUUGAUUUUGGUUUCAUCUUUAUUUCAAUGCUUGGGAUGUGAAAGCCAUUUGGAUUAAUCUUGAAUCACAUUGCAAUGCCAGUUAAAACGAGAUAAAUGAUCUCUACUAUCUCCACCAUCAAUACUGUUUGGGUGACACAUUUAUUGAAGGACAAUAAAGACUUAUCUUCUUAUAUUUGAA
Non-coding RNA from Cricetulus griseus (Chinese hamster), 14928 nucleotides. The record is from RefSeq and is a predicted model, not a curated record. Lineage: Eukaryota; Metazoa; Chordata; Mammalia; Rodentia; Cricetidae.